UAAAAUAACCAUGGAUCACAUUGGGUAGGCAGGACAUGACUCCAAAGAGCUCUGCUGGAAUAUCCACAUAUGUUCUGUUGCAUGAUGCUUUAUUUGUCCCAGAAGAAUUAAGAUGACAGAUGAUAGCUGAGGUUUGAACUUGUGCAUCAGGAAGGCCACUUUGAAUAUAAAGGGGGCAGUGUGCGUUUUGUGAAACUAGCGAUGCAAAGAGGAUGCAGCGGAGGAACGGCCGGCAGUGUCAUUGGAACGAUGACAUUUCUGUGGAAACGAGGCAGUUGUUUAUGGUGCUGUGUGCAGUUCUUGAAGCCAGCCCAGAAACAGGGCAGGGGUUUAAGGGGAGGCAGGCGGAGGUGCCUGCGGAGCUCCAGCGCUGCUGCUCCCGGAGCCCUGGGGCAGCGGGGCUGCGACCUCAGGGACACCUCACUGGGACUGUCUGAUGUGUGUGAGUCCGUGUGUGUCUGUGUAACAUCGGGAAGGCCUUACCACCCGAGUUAAGACUUAGCUGCUGAAGGAAAAAGAGGAAUUUUGGCCGGUACCCACUGUAAAUAGUUUUUUGUUUCUGCAGGCGAACCGGAGAGAGAGGUGGAGUCUAAAGAAGUAGCGUUCCAUCACUUUCAACUUGGUGACUGAAGUUCUUUAGGAGAGAAGAGAGUUGUCCCUGGAAAGCGGUGUAAGGAUGAGUGGCCGCUGGGAAUCUCCCCCUUUUCCCGGUGCGAUCAGUUUUGUUGCUGAGUGCCCUCUGGAGGUUUUGGACCCGCAGCGACCCGGGCUAUCGAGGCUGUGUCUGAGCUUUUCAGGACUCCUUGCUUCAAAGUUCUCGUUGGGGCUAAAGGGAAACUGCUAAAAUACCCUUUGAGCCUCUUCUUGCAAGAUAUAUCAGAGAUCUCAGGGGAAGCCUGUUAUCCUUAUUCUUCCAGCCAAGUUCUGUAGCCAGAGGAACUCUGGAUAACUUCAGUAAGUAUUGGAACUUUUGGGUGCUCAUUUUUGGUUUUCUUGUAAUCUCUAAAUUCUCCACUUUUGUCUACACUUAUUCCCCUAAGUGUAUCAGUUAAAAUAAAUACCUGCAGUUGCCCUG
Non-coding RNA from Cyanistes caeruleus (blue tit), 1075 nucleotides. The record is from RefSeq and is a predicted model, not a curated record. Lineage: Eukaryota; Metazoa; Chordata; Aves; Passeriformes; Paridae.